GAAUUAGUAACUUAACUGGUAAAGGACUUCCUUGUCACGGAAGUUGAUGUCGGUUCAAAUCCGACCUGAUUCG
This 73-nucleotide transfer RNA is filed under the name Ophiognomonia clavigignenti-juglandacearum. RNAcentral's name for it is "tRNA-Asp". It matches the Rfam family "tRNA". Rfam says of the family: Transfer RNA (tRNA) molecules are approximately 80 nucleotides in length. Their secondary structure includes four short double-helical elements and three loops (D, anti-codon, and T loops). Further hydrogen bonds mediate the characteristic L-shaped molecular structure. tRNAs have two regions of fundamental functional importance: the anti-codon, which is responsible for specific mRNA codon recognition, and the 3' end, to which the tRNAs corresponding amino acid is attached (by aminoacyl-tRNA synthetases). tRNAs cope with the degeneracy of the genetic code in two manners: having more than one tRNA (with a specific anti-codon) for a particular amino acid; and 'wobble' base-pairing, i.e. permitting non-standard base-pairing at the 3rd anti-codon position. The record is from RNAcentral. Lineage: Eukaryota; Fungi; Ascomycota; Sordariomycetes; Diaporthales; Gnomoniaceae.